UACGGGGGGAGCAAGCGUUGUUCGGAUUUACUGGGCGUAAAGGGCGCGUAGGCGGUCCUUCAAGUCAGGCGUGAAAGCCCCGGGCUCAACCUCAGAACUGCCUUCGAUACUGGCAAUCUCGAGUCCGGAAGAGGUUGGUGGAACAGCUAGUGUAGAGGUGAAAUUCGUAGAUAUUAGCUAGAACACCAGUGGCGAAGGCGGCCAACUGGUCCGGUACUGACGCUGAGGUGCGAAAGCGUGGGGAGCAAACAGG
Molecule: ribosomal RNA, 253 nt
Filed under: uncultured bacterium
Lineage: Bacteria
Description: partial 16S ribosomal RNA
Rfam family: Bacterial small subunit ribosomal RNA
Source: RNAcentral